ACACACACACACACACACACACACACACACACACACACACACACACACACACACACGUAUUGUCAGUGUCCUCUCUGGUCUGGAAUAGAAGAGGAGUCGAUGUGUGAGGAACGUUUCAAGUGGAAGGAGAAGCUUUGCUUAAAGAUGGCCGCCUUUUCGUGUAGUAUUUUACGGCUUUCGGGAGCUUCAGGACGGCUAUCCGAGGGUCGUGAUGAUCUCCGUGUGUUUUCAUGUUUUCAUCGACAAGGAGCUUCACUUCCUGCCGGCUUCACGUUACAUGAAACAACAAUGGCUUUAAACUUGAAGCUGCCAUUAUCUUUUUAUUUAUUGAGAAUAUAGUGUAAUGUGAAAGUGUUGUGAAGCUACAGAGAAAUAUCACGUGAAUCUACUGUAUUCCAAAAAGGUAGGAUUAUACUACGUUGUCAUAUUUCUCAGCGUUUCAGCUUAUAAUUUGCUUUAUUUUUAGACUAUAUUUCAGAUCUCGAUGCCUGAAUGCCGCUACAAAAAAAAGAAAAGAAAAGCGAAAUAAGGAAUCAGAAGAAUACAGAAUACCACAUGGCAGCUAAAUAUUAAACUCAGUUUUCUUUCUUAUUUAAAUUAAUUUGGCAUUGCAAAUUAAUUUUUAAAAAAAAUAUGUUCCAUUCACUCUCAUAAAUGGAUAACUAAUAAUAAUUUAACUUAAUACAACAAUAUUUUUUUUUUUUAAGUUUUCUAGUUUGGGCUUUUCAAAAUCUGUAUUUAUUAUUAUUAAUAUUAACAGAAAAACGCAGUCACACUUGACAUUCUUGUUAUCUUGCGUGUGUGUCGCUCACACACACACACACACACACACACACGCGCGAUGCUUUAAUGGCUUAUAACGUGUUGAAAGAUAUUGCAGAACAUUUCAGUUGAAAUGUGAUUCAUCUCCAGUGAGAUAGAAGAGGAAGCGGUUUAUUCAGAUAAGCGUCGGCCGGUUCAUCGAUGAUGCUGCAAAGAUACAAUUAUUAUAUUUAAAGAAGAUCAACUACUUCAAAUAAAAUAUUUUUUUUUAGGACUUCUUGUUUAUCCGCCCGAUCUGAAUUUAAUCUCUUCUUUGACACGAAGGCGUCGCGGGAUCGUUAUGAUGAUCGCUUCAUUUGUGGCUGGAGUCGUUUCCUAAAUACAAUAAAAAAAAAAAAAUGCAAUCUUCAACAACAACAACAAAAAAAGGCAGUUUGCAUUCGCACAAAUAUUUUUUUACAAGCAAAUGGCUCACAAUAAAGAUAUUACGCUGAAAUAAAAUAUAUAUAUAUAAAUUAAACAGUAACCAUGAAUGA
Long non-coding RNA from Cyclopterus lumpus (lumpfish), 1298 nucleotides. RefSeq lists it as uncharacterized. The record is from RefSeq and is a predicted model, not a curated record. The transcript is spliced from 2 exons. Lineage: Eukaryota; Metazoa; Chordata; Actinopteri; Perciformes; Cyclopteridae.